This 301-nucleotide ribosomal RNA is filed under the name uncultured bacterium. RNAcentral describes it as "partial 16S ribosomal RNA". It matches the Rfam family "Bacterial small subunit ribosomal RNA", at positions 509 to 807 of the family's 1533-position model. The record is from RNAcentral.
CAGCAGCCGCGGUAAUACGUAGGGUGCAAGCGUUAAUCGGAAUUACUGGGCGUAAAGCGUGCGCAGGCGGUUAUAUAAGACAGAUGUGAAAUCCCCGGGCUCAACCUGGGAACUGCAUUUGUGACUGUAUAGCUAGAGUACGGCAGAGGGGGAUGGAAUUCCGCGUGUAGCAGUGAAAUGCGUAGAUAUGCGGAGGAACACCGAUGGCAAAGGCAAUCCCCUGGGCCUGUACUGACGCUCAUGCACGAAAGCGUGGGGAGCAAACAGGAUUAGAUACCCGUGUAGUCCCUGUCUCUUAUAC